UACUGGAAACGGUAGCUAAUACCGCAUAACGUCGCAAGACCAAAGAGGGGGACCUUCGGGCCUCUUGCCAUCAGAUGUGCCCAGAUGGGAUUAGCUAGUAGGUGGGGUAACGGCUCACCUAGGCGACAUCCCUAGCUGGUCUGAGAGGAUGACCAGCCACACUGGAACUGAGACACGGUCCAGACUCCUACGGGAGGCAGCAUG
Molecule: ribosomal RNA, 204 nt
Filed under: uncultured bacterium
Lineage: Bacteria
Description: partial 16S ribosomal RNA
Rfam family: Bacterial small subunit ribosomal RNA
Source: RNAcentral